RNAcentral lists this ribosomal RNA (141 nucleotides) under Triodia sylvina. RNAcentral describes it as "partial large subunit ribosomal RNA". The record is from RNAcentral. Lineage: Eukaryota; Metazoa; Arthropoda; Insecta; Lepidoptera; Hepialidae.
UUUUUUUUUUAUUUUUUAUUAUAUAAAAUAUAUUUUUUAAAUAAAAAUUAAAUAUUUUAUUGGGGUGAUAAAAAAAUUAAAAAAACUUUUUUUUAAAAAAAACAUUUAUUUAUGAAUAAUUGAUCCAAUAUUAUUGAAUAU